This 656-nucleotide ribosomal RNA is filed under the name uncultured Glomus. RNAcentral's name for it is "SSU rRNA". It matches the Rfam family "Eukaryotic small subunit ribosomal RNA", at positions 357 to 1016 of the family's 1831-position model. Lineage: Eukaryota; Fungi; Glomeromycota; Glomeromycetes; Glomerales; Glomeraceae. The record is from RNAcentral.
GGGUAACGGGGUGUUAGGGCACGACACCGGAGAGGGAGCCUGAGAAACGGCUACCACAUCCAAGGAAGGCAGCAGGCGCGCAAAUUACCCAAUCCCGACACGGGGAGGUAGUGACAAUAAAUAACAAUACAGGGUUCUUUUGGAUCUUGUAAUUGGAAUGAGUACAAUUUAAAUCUCUUAACGAGGAACAAUUGGAGGGCAAGUCUGGUGCCAGCAGCCGCGGUAGUUCCAGCUCCAAUAGCGUAUAUUAAAGUUGUUGCAGUUAAAAAGCUCGUAGUUGAAUUUCGGGAUCAAUAUUUCGGUCAUGCCGUUGGUAUGCACUGUUAUCAUUGAUUUCUCACCUUCUAAAGAACCGUAAUGCCAUUAAUUUGGUGUUACGGGGAAUUAGGACUGUUACCUUGAAAAAAUUAGAGUGUUUAAAGCAGGCUCACGCUUGAAUACAUUAGCAUGGAAUAAUGAAAUAGGACAUCCGAUUCUAUUUUGUUGGUUUCUAGGAUCGAUGUAAUGGUUAAUAGGGAUAGUUGGGGGCAUUAGUAUUCAAUUGUCAGAGGUGAAAUUCUUGGAUUUAUUGAAGACUAACUACUGCGAAAGCAUUUGCCAAGGAUGUUUUCAUUGAUCAAGAACGAAAGUUAGGGGAUCGAAGACGAUCAGAUACC